Molecule: ribosomal RNA, 433 nt
Filed under: uncultured Coriobacteriaceae bacterium
Lineage: Bacteria; Bacillati; Actinomycetota; Coriobacteriia; Coriobacteriales; Coriobacteriaceae
Description: bacterial SSU rRNA
Rfam family: Bacterial small subunit ribosomal RNA
Source: RNAcentral
ACGGAAGGCAGCAGUGGGGAAUUUUGCGCAAUGGGGGAAACCCUGACGCAGCAACGCCGCGUGCGGGAUGGAGGCCUUCGGGCUGUAAACCGCUUUCAGCAGGGAAGACUUCGACGGUACCUGCAGAAGAAGCUCCGGCUAACUACGUGCCAGCAGCCGCGGUAAUACGUAGGGGGCGAGCGUUAUCCGGAUUCAUUGGGCGUAAAGCGCGCGUAGGCGGCUGCCUAAGCGGAGUUUCUAAUCUUGGGGCUCAACCUCAAGCCGGACUCCGAACUGGGCGGCUCGAGUGCGGUAGGGGCAGGCGGAAUUCCACGUGUAGCGGUGAAAUGCGCAGAUAUGUGGAGGAACACCGAUGGCGAAGGCAGCCUGCUGGGGACUCAUCGACGCUGAGGCUCGAAAGUGCGGGUAGCAAACAGGAUUAGAUACCCUGGUA